This 468-nucleotide ribosomal RNA is filed under the name uncultured bacterium. RNAcentral describes it as "partial 16S ribosomal RNA". It matches the Rfam family "Bacterial small subunit ribosomal RNA", at positions 28 to 507 of the family's 1533-position model. The record is from RNAcentral.
GACGAACGCUGGCGGCGUGCUUAACACAUGCAAGUCGAACGGAAAGGCCCUGCUUUUGUGGGGUGCUCGAGUGGCGAACGGGUGAGUAACACGUGAGUAACCUGCCCUUGACUUUGGGAUAACUUCAGGAAACUGGGGCUAAUACCGGAUAGGAGCUCCUGCUGCAUGGUGGGGGUUGGAAAGUUUCGGCGGUUGGGGAUGGACUCGCGGCUUAUCAGCUUGUUGGUGGGGUAGUGGCUUACCAAGGCUUUGACGGGUAGCCGGCCUGAGAGGGUGACCGGCCACAUUGGGACUGAGAUACGGCCCAGACUCCUACGGGAGGCAGAAGUGGGGAAUAUUGCACAAUGGGAGGGAGCCUGAUGCAGCAACGCCGCGUGCGGGAUGACGGCCUUCGGGUUGUAAACCGCUUUCGCCUGUGACGAAGCGUGAGUGACGGUAAUGGGUAAAGAAGCACCGGCUAACUACGUG